Molecule: ribosomal RNA, 214 nt
Filed under: uncultured Actinomycetales bacterium
Lineage: Bacteria; Bacillati; Actinomycetota; Actinomycetes; Actinomycetales
Description: partial 16S ribosomal RNA
Rfam family: Bacterial small subunit ribosomal RNA
Source: RNAcentral
GUGGGUGAUCUGCCUUGCACGUUCGGGAUAAGCCUGGGAAACUGGGUCUAAUACCGGAUAGGACCAUGCUUUAGUGUGUGUGGUGGAAAGUUUUUCGGUGCAAGAUGAGCCCGCGGCCUAUCAGUUUGUUGGUGAGGUAGUGGCUCACCAAGGCGAUGACGGGUAGCCGGCCUGAGAGGGCGACCGGCCACACUGGGACUGAGACACGGCCCAG